Small nucleolar RNA from Achroia grisella, 136 nucleotides. RefSeq annotates it as small nucleolar RNA psi28S-1192. The transcript has a single exon. The record is from RefSeq and is a predicted model, not a curated record. Lineage: Eukaryota; Metazoa; Arthropoda; Insecta; Lepidoptera; Pyralidae.
AUCACGUCUGUUCUAAUACCACAGGGUGUAAUGUUAACCCCGUGGCUUCGCUUUCAGACGAGAUAAUUUCUUCAAAAUUAUCCUAGUGUUAUUUUCCUAUACGUGGAUAUAGCACUGGCACUUUGAAGAUACAUUU